This 62-nucleotide transfer RNA is filed under the name Haemadipsa yanyuanensis. RNAcentral describes it as "tRNA-Phe". Lineage: Eukaryota; Metazoa; Annelida; Clitellata; Hirudinida; Haemadipsidae. The record is from RNAcentral.
AUUUGAAUAGAUUAAUAUAAAUCAUAUUAUUGAAGCUAAUAUAAUAACUGUGUUUUCAAAUU